RNAcentral lists this ribosomal RNA (656 nucleotides) under Hepatozoon felis. Its description in RNAcentral is "SSU rRNA". It matches the Rfam family "Eukaryotic small subunit ribosomal RNA", at positions 167 to 811 of the family's 1831-position model. Lineage: Eukaryota; Apicomplexa; Hepatozoidae. The record is from RNAcentral.
AUACAUGAGCAAAAUCUCAACUUUUUUAGAAGAGAUGCAUUUAUUAGAUAAAAAACCAAUACAUGCUUUUAAAGUAUGGAAUUUGGUGAUUUACAAUAACUUAGCAAAUCGCAUAGUGAAAACAGGCGAUAAAUCAUUCAAGUUUCUGACCUAUCAGCUUUCGACGGUAUGGUAUUGGCUUACCGUGGCAGUGACGGUUAACGGGGGAUUAGGGUUCGAUUCCGGAGAGGGAGCCUGAGAAACGGCUACCACAUCUAAGGAAGGCAGCAGGCGCGCAAAUUACCCAAUUCUAACAGCAUAAGAGAGGUAGUGACAAGAAAUAACAAUACAAGGCAGUUAAAAUGCUUUGUAAUUGGAAUGAUAGAAAUUUAAACACUUUUUAAAGUAUCAAUUGGAGGGCAAGUCUGGUGCCAGCAGCCGCGGUAAUUCCAGCUCCAAUAGCGUAUAUUAAAAUUGUUGCAGUUAAAAAGCUCGUAGUUGAAUUUCUGCUAAAAAUAACCGGUCUGCUUUUAAUAAAGGUGGUAUCUUGGUGUGUUUUUAGCAAUAAUGUCCUUUGAAAUGUUUAUUACUUCAUUGUAAUAAAUUAUUUUCAGGAUUUUUACUUUGAGAAAAUUAGAGUGUUUCUAGCAGGCUAACGCUUUGAAUACUGCAGCAUG